RNAcentral lists this ribosomal RNA (433 nucleotides) under uncultured bacterium. RNAcentral's name for it is "partial 16S ribosomal RNA". It matches the Rfam family "Bacterial small subunit ribosomal RNA", at positions 29 to 507 of the family's 1533-position model. The record is from RNAcentral.
AACGAACGCUGGCGGCAUGCCUAACACAUGCAAGUCGAACGAGACCUUCGGGUCUAGUGGCGCACGGGUGCGUAACGCGUGGGAACCUGCCCUUAGGUUCGGAAUAACUCCCCGAAAGGGGUGCUAAUACCGGAUAAUGUCUUCGGACAAAAGAUUGAUCGCCUUUGGAUGGGCCCGCGUUGGAUUAGCUAGUUGGUAGGGUAAAAGCCUACCAAGGCGACGAUCCAUAGCUGGUCUGAGAGGAUGAUCAGCCACACUGGGACUGAGACACGGCCCAGACUCCUACGGGAGGCAGCAGUGGGGAAUAUUGGACAAUGGGCGAAAGCCUGAUCCAGCAAUGCCGCGUGAGUGAUGAAGGCCUUAGGGUUGUAAAGCUCUUUUACCCGGGAUGAUAAUGACAGUACCGGGAGAAUAAGCUCCGGCUAACUCCGUG